Molecule: ribosomal RNA, 1001 nt
Filed under: Ralstonia mannitolilytica
Lineage: Bacteria; Pseudomonadati; Pseudomonadota; Betaproteobacteria; Burkholderiales; Burkholderiaceae
Description: bacterial SSU rRNA
Rfam family: Bacterial small subunit ribosomal RNA
Source: RNAcentral
GGCGGCAUGCUACACUUGCAAGUCGAACGGCAGCGGGGAGAAGCUUGCUUCUCCUGCCGGCGAGUGGCGAACGGGUGAGUAAUACAUCGGAACGUGCCUGGUAGUGGGGGAUAACUAGUCGAAAGAUUAGCUAAUACCGCAUACGACUGAGGGUGAAAGUGGGGGACCGCAAGGCCUCAUGCUAUAGGAGCGGCCGAUGUCUGAUAGCUAGUUGGUGAGGUAAAGGCUCACCAAGGCGACGAUCAGUAGCUGGUCUGAGAGGACGAUCAGCCACACUGGGACUGAGACACGGCCCAGACUCCUACGGGAGGCAGCAGUGGGGAAUUUUGGACAAUGGGCGAAAGCCUGAUCCAGCAAUGCCGCGUGUGUGAAGAAGGCCUUCGGGUUGUAAAGCACUUUUGUCCGGAAAGAAAUCGCACUUACUAAUACUAGGUGUGGAUGACGGUACCGGAAGAAUAAGGACCGGCUAACUACGUGCCAGCAGCCGCGGUAAUACGUAGGGUCCGAGCGUUAAUCGGAAUUACUGGGCGUAAAGCGUGCGCAGGCGGUUGUGCAAGACCGAUGUGAAAUCCCCGGGCUUAACCUGGGAAUUGCAUUGGUGACUGCACGGCUAGAGUGUGUCAGAGGGGGGUAGAAUUCCACGUGUAGCAGUGAAAUGCGUAGAGAUGUGGAGGAAUACCGAUGGCGAAGGCAGCCCCCUGGGAUAACACUGACGCUCAUGCACGAAAGCGUGGGGAGCAAACAGGAUUAGAUACCCUGGUAGUCCACGCCCUAAACGAUGUCAACUAGUUGUUGGGGAUUCAUUUCCUUAGUAACGUAGCUAACGCGUGAAGUUGACCGCCUGGGGAGUACGGUCGCAAGAUUAAAACUCAAAGGAAUUGACGGGGACCCGCACAAGCGGUGGAUGAUGUGGAUUAAUUCGAUGCAACGCGAAAAACCUUACCUACCCUUGACAUGCCACUAACGAAGCAGAGAUGCAUUAGGUGCUCGAAAGAGAAAGU